Phrynosoma platyrhinos (Desert horned lizard) is the source of this 72-nucleotide non-coding RNA. The record is from the annotation of a GenBank genome assembly. NCBI's taxonomy places the organism in Eukaryota, Metazoa, Chordata, Lepidosauria, Squamata, Phrynosomatidae.
GCCUGCAUGGUGUAGUGGUUUGAGCAUUGGACUUUGACUCUGGAUGCUAGGGUUGAAUUCCCUACUCAGCUA